AGUCAGUAGCCAAUGAGACCAUGUCAGCGGUUCCGCCCCUCUUCUGCUUUGUUUUAAAAAAACUUGUGACUGCAUUUUAUCACACCAGCAUCUACUAAACUUGCAAAAAUGGGGCAGAACAUUGUGUUGAUACUGAUGACAAUUCCAGACACCAAGAGGGAACUACCUGGACAAACAGCAGAUGUAUCAGAUGUACAUGCUACCCUAUGGGACAAAUGAGAUGCUGUGACAUGAUGGGCAGAGCGAUUAUCAAAACUGAA
Myxocyprinus asiaticus (Chinese sucker) is the source of this 260-nucleotide long non-coding RNA. RefSeq lists it as uncharacterized. The transcript has 3 exons. NCBI's taxonomy places the organism in Eukaryota, Metazoa, Chordata, Actinopteri, Cypriniformes, Catostomidae. The record is from RefSeq and is a predicted model, not a curated record.